This 301-nucleotide ribosomal RNA is filed under the name uncultured bacterium. Its description in RNAcentral is "partial 16S ribosomal RNA". It matches the Rfam family "Bacterial small subunit ribosomal RNA", at positions 509 to 807 of the family's 1533-position model. The record is from RNAcentral.
CAGUCGCCGCGGGAAUACGUAGGUGGCAAGCGUUGUCCGGAAUUAUUGGGCGUAAAGCGCGCGCAGGUGGUUUAAUAAGUCUGAUGUGGAGGCCCACGACUCAACCGUGAAGGGUCAUUGGAAACUGUUAAACUUGAGUGCAGGAGAGAAAAGUGGAAUUCCUAGUGUAGCGGUGAAAUGCGUAGAGAUUAGGAGGAACACCAGUGGCGAAGGCGGCUUUUUGGCCUGUAACUGACACUGAGGCGCGAAAGCGGGGGGAGCAAACAGGAUUAGAUACCCCCGUAGUCCCUGUCUCUUAUAC